GACGGCGUGGGAACUGUCGGGAACAGACUGGCGCAGGACUUAAAAUCCCUCGGGCUUUAGCCCGUGCCGGUUCGAGUCCGGCCGCCCGCACCA
This 93-nucleotide transfer RNA is filed under the name Rhodospirillaceae bacterium. RNAcentral describes it as "tRNA-Leu". The record is from RNAcentral. Lineage: Bacteria; Pseudomonadati; Pseudomonadota; Alphaproteobacteria; Rhodospirillales; Rhodospirillaceae.